CCUACGGGUGACAGCAGUGAGGAAUAUUGGUCAAUGGGCGCGAGCCUGAACCAGCCAAGUAGCGUGAAGGAUGACUGCCCUAUGGGUUGUAAACUUCUUUUAUACGGGAAUAAAGUGAGGCACGUGUGCCUUUUUGUAUGUACUUUAUGAAUAAGGAUCGGCUAACUCCGUGCCAGCAGCCGCGGUAAUACGGAGGGUCCGAGCGUUAUCCGGAUUUAUUGGGUUUAAAGGGAGCGUAGAUGGCUUGUUAAGUCAGUUGUGAAAGUUUGCGGCUCAACCGUAAAAUUGCAAUUGAUACUGGCAGGCUUGAGUACGGGUGAGGUAGGCGGAAUUCGUGGUGUAGCGGUGAAAUGCUUAGAUAUCACGAAGAACUCCGAUUGCGAAGGCAGCUUACGAAACUGCCACUGACAUUGAUGCUCGAAAGUGUGGGUAUCAAACAGGAUUAGAUACCCCAGUAGUC
Molecule: ribosomal RNA, 460 nt
Filed under: uncultured bacterium
Lineage: Bacteria
Description: partial 16S ribosomal RNA
Rfam family: Bacterial small subunit ribosomal RNA
Source: RNAcentral